ACACAUGCAAGUCGAGCGGAGACAGUGAGUAGCUUGCUAUGAGCUGUUUUAGCGGCGGACGGGUGAGUAACGCGUGAGCAACCUUUCCCAGACAGGGGAAUAACACACCGAAAGGUGUACUAAUACCGCAUAAGACCACGGGAUCACAUGGUUCUGGGGUAAAAGAUUUAUCGGUUUGGGGUGGGCUCGCGUCCGAUUAGGUAGUUGGUGAGGUAACGGCCCACCAAGCCGACGAUCGGUAGCCGACCUGAGAGGGUGAUCGGCCACGUUGGGACUGAGACACGGCCCAAACUCCUACGGGAGGCAGCAGUGGGGAAUAUUGGGCAAUGGGGGGAACCCUGACCCAGCAACGCCGCGUGGAGGAAGAAGGUUUUCGGAUCGUAAACUCCUGUCCUUGGAGACGAGUAGAAGACGGUAUCCAAGGAGGAAGCCCCGGCUAACUACGUGCCAGCAGCCGCGGUAAUACGUAGGGGGCAAGCGUUGUCCGGAAUAAUUGGGCGUAAAGGGCGCGUAGGCGGCUCGGUAAGUCUGGAGUGAAAGUCCUGCUUUUAAGGUGGGAAUUGCUUUGGAUACUGUCGGGCUUGAGUGCAGGAGAGGUUAGUGGAAUUCCCAGUGUAGCGGUGAAAUGCGUAGAGAUUGGGAGGAACACCAGUGGCGAAGGCGACUAACUGGACUGUAACUGACGCUGAGGCGCGAAAGUGUGGGGAGCAAACAGGAUUAGAUACCCUGGUAGUCCACACUGUAAACGAUGAAUGCUAGGUGUAGGGGGUAUCGACCCCUUCUGUGCCGCAGUCAACACAAUAAGCAUUCCGCCUGGGGAGUACGGCCGCA
RNAcentral lists this ribosomal RNA (831 nucleotides) under uncultured bacterium. Its description in RNAcentral is "bacterial SSU rRNA". It matches the Rfam family "Bacterial small subunit ribosomal RNA", at positions 51 to 890 of the family's 1533-position model. The record is from RNAcentral.